GUGGACGUAGCUCAGUUGGUUAGAGCGCCUGGUUGUGGCCCAGGAGGUCGCCGGUUCGAGUCCGGUCUUCCACCCCA
This 77-nucleotide transfer RNA is filed under the name Lentisphaerota bacterium. RNAcentral's name for it is "Lentisphaerae bacterium tRNA-His". It matches the Rfam family "tRNA". From Rfam's summary of the family: Transfer RNA (tRNA) molecules are approximately 80 nucleotides in length. RNAcentral also lists the same sequence under 1 other name. Lineage: Bacteria; Pseudomonadati; Lentisphaerota. The record is from RNAcentral.